CCUACGGGAGGCAGCAGUGAGGAAUAUUGGUCAAUGGACGAGAGUCUGAACCAGCCAAGUAGCGUGUAGGAUGACUGCCCUCUGGUUUGUAAACUUCUUUUAUAUGGGAAUAAAAUGUUCAACGUGUGGGAUUUUUUAUGUACCAUAUGAGUAGAGAUCGGCUAACUCCGUGCCAGCAGCAGCGGUAAUACGGAGGAUCCGAGCGUUAUCCGGAUUGAAUGGGGUUAAAGGGAGCGUAGGUGGAUUGUUAAGUCAGUUGUGAAAGUUUGCGGCUCAACCGUAAAAUUGCAGUUGAAACUGGCAGUCUUGAGUACAGUAGAGGUGGGCGGAAUUCGUGGUGUAGCGGUGAAAUGCUUAGAGAUCACGAAGAACUCCGAUUGCGAAGGCAGCUCACUGGACUGCAACUGACACUGAGGCUCGAAAGUGUGGGGAUCAAACAGGAUUAGAUACCCUUGUAGUC
RNAcentral lists this ribosomal RNA (460 nucleotides) under uncultured bacterium. RNAcentral's name for it is "partial 16S ribosomal RNA". It matches the Rfam family "Bacterial small subunit ribosomal RNA", at positions 338 to 795 of the family's 1533-position model. The record is from RNAcentral.